GUCCAGGGAUGGGAAUCGAACCCACUGUAUUCCGCUUACCGGGCAGAUGCCAUGUCCACUAGGCUACCCUGGA
Molecule: transfer RNA, 73 nt
Filed under: Cordylochernes scorpioides
Lineage: Eukaryota; Metazoa; Arthropoda; Arachnida; Pseudoscorpiones; Chernetidae
Description: tRNA-Thr
Source: RNAcentral